UUUUAAUAUUUCAGUUCCUUUUUGGUGAUCCGCUCAGCAGUCCUCAUCUCCUAGUUUAUCCUUCCUUCCACCUCGUCCACUCAGAGUCUAGAGGAGGUCGGACCAAUCCUAAGUCUUUUGUCUUUUCUUUUUGUAAUUUUGAUAGAUCAUGUAUAGAUUGUACAGCCCAGUGGAAAAGGUAUUUUGUUGAUUGUAAAUAUUUUAUGAAUUGACAGGUCCAACUAUCAGUUUUUCUCUUAUAUGCUUAAUGUUUUGAAAUUAUAGCAGGUUAUAUGUUUUAUAUGUAUAAAUAUUAGGGGAAGUUCUGUCAGUUUUUCGGGUCAUAUCCGUCUCUACAGUUUGGAGAUUGGGUGUGACAAUUUUUAGCCUUUGGGGAGUAUGUCAGGUGGUCACCCUUUGGGGGUAGCUCUGCACAUGUGUAUGACCAGCAUUUCAUUAGCUCUUGGGCCAAAUUUGUCAUUAUAGAGCCUAAGAUGCCAGUAUUACUCUCAGACUGUUAUUAUUUUAUUAUACCUGAGAUGCCAGCAUUAUCUGCAGGGAACAUAUUAUGAGUGUAUGCGGAUUCUAUUUUUCACAGUUUAUUUUAUAUUGAUGGAAUUAAAUUGUAUUUAUUCAGCUGACUUAUUUUAGCUAAAUAUUGGGUACUAUUAAGUACCUAAACUUAUCUUUUCCCCUUUGUUAUUUAUUUAUCCGCUCACUGAGUAUGUUGUACUCACCCCUUAUAUUUCUUUUAAUAUUUCAGUUCCUUUUUGGUGAUCCGCUCGGCAGUCCUCAUCUCCUUGUUUAUCCUUCCUUCCACCUCGUCCACUCAGAGUCUAGAGGAGGUCGGACCAAUCCUAAGUCUUUUGUCUUUUUUUUUUGUAAUUUUGAUAGAUCAUGUAUAGAUUGGACAGAUUAUAGCAGGUUAUAUGUUUUAUAUGUAUAAAUAUUAGGGGAAGUUCUGUCAGUUUUUCCGGUCAUAUUCGUCUCUACAGUUUGGAGAUUGGGUGUGACA
RNAcentral lists this long non-coding RNA (994 nucleotides) under Manihot esculenta (cassava). RNAcentral's name for it is "long non-coding RNA (MESC_LNC007511)". The record is from RNAcentral. Lineage: Eukaryota; Viridiplantae; Streptophyta; Magnoliopsida; Malpighiales; Euphorbiaceae.